Molecule: small nuclear RNA, 97 nt
Filed under: Nicotiana sylvestris (wood tobacco)
Lineage: Eukaryota; Viridiplantae; Streptophyta; Magnoliopsida; Solanales; Solanaceae
Source: RNAcentral
GGUUUGUCCCUUCGGAUUUAUCGGAACGAUAUUGAGAAAAUUAGCAUGACCCCGUGCAAGGAUGACACGCACAAAUCGAGGAAUGAUCCAAAUUUUU